AAAGAAUUCACAAACUGCAGUUUGUUCCUUGUAGUGCAUCUUUCAAAAGAAAUCUUCAUCUAGUAGGUAAGAC
This is a non-coding RNA of Loxodonta africana (African savanna elephant), 73 nucleotides long. Lineage: Eukaryota; Metazoa; Chordata; Mammalia; Proboscidea; Elephantidae. The record is from Rfam.